Molecule: ribosomal RNA, 331 nt
Filed under: uncultured bacterium
Lineage: Bacteria
Description: bacterial SSU rRNA
Rfam family: Bacterial small subunit ribosomal RNA
Source: RNAcentral
CGCGUAGGCGGCGCGGUAAGUCUUCUGUGAAACCUCUGGGCUUAACUCAGAGCCUGCAGAGGAAACUGCCGUGCUGGAGUGUGGGAGAGGCGAGUGGAAUUCCCGGUGUAGCGGUGAAUGCGUAGAUAUCGGGAGGAACACCAGUGGCGAAGGCGGCUCGCUGGACCACAACUGACGCUGAGGCGCGAAAGCUAGGGGAGCAAACAGGAUUAGAUACCCUGGUAGUCCUAGCCUUAAACGAUGAAUGCUUGGUGUGAUCGGUAUCCAAUCCGAUUGUGCCGCAGCUAACGCGAUAAGCAUUCCGCCUGGGGAGUACGGUCGCAAGGCUGAA